AAAAGAAACUAACAAGGAUUCCCUUAGUAGCGGCGAGCGAAGUGGGAAGAGCUCAAAUUUGAAAUCUGGCGUCUUUCAGGCGUCCGAGUUGUAAUCUAUAGAAGCGUUUUCUGUGCUGGACCGUGUCCAAGUCCCUUGGAACAGGGUAUCAAAGAGGGUGACAAUCCCGUACUUGACACGACAACCAGUGCUGUGUGAUACGUUUUCGACGAGUCGAGUUGUUUGGGAAUGCAGCUCAAAAUGGGUGGUAAAUUCCAUCUAAAGCUAAAUAUUGGCGAGAGACCGAUAGCGAACAAGUACCGUGAGGGAAAGAUGAAAAGCACUUUGGAAAGAGAGUUAAACAGUACGUGAAAUUGUUGAAAGGGAAACGAUUGAAGUCAGUCGUGUCUAUUGGUUUCAGCCGGUUCCUGCCGGUGUAUUACCUUUAGACGGGUCAACAUCAGUUUUGGACGGUAGAAAAGAGCGAUUAGAAUGUAGCACCUCCGGGUGUGUUAUAGCUUGUCGUUGCAUAUACUGUCUGAGACUGAGGCAUGCAGCUCGCCUUCACAGGCCGGGGCUCGCCCACGU
Molecule: ribosomal RNA, 567 nt
Filed under: Derxomyces sp.
Lineage: Eukaryota; Fungi; Basidiomycota; Tremellomycetes; Tremellales; Bulleribasidiaceae
Description: partial large subunit ribosomal RNA
Rfam family: Eukaryotic large subunit ribosomal RNA
Source: RNAcentral